This 803-nucleotide ribosomal RNA is filed under the name uncultured bacterium. Its description in RNAcentral is "bacterial SSU rRNA". It matches the Rfam family "Bacterial small subunit ribosomal RNA", at positions 8 to 812 of the family's 1533-position model. The record is from RNAcentral.
AGAGUUUGAUCCUGGCUCAGGAUGAACGCUGGCGGCGUGCUUAACACAUGCAAGUCGAACGGGAAUUACUUUAUUGAAACUUCGGUCGAUUUAAUUUAAUUCUAGUGGCGGACGGGUGAGUAACGCGUGGGUAACCUGCCUUAUACAGGGGGAUAACAGUCAGAAAUGGCUGCUAAUACCGCAUAAGCGCACAGAGCUGCAUGGCUCAGUGUGAAAAACUCCGGUGGUAUAAGAUGGACCCGCGUUGGAUUAGCUAGUUGGUGGGGUAACGGCCCACCAAGGCGACGAUCCAUAGCCGGCCUGAGAGGGUGAACGGCCACAUUGGGACUGAGACACGGCCCAGACUCCUACGGGAGGCAGCAGUGGGGAAUAUUGCACAAUGGGGGAAACCCUGAUGCAGCGACGCCGCGUGAGCGAUGAAGUAUUUCGGUAUGUAAAGCUCUAUCAGCAGGGAAGAAAAUGACGGUACCUGACUAAGAAGCACCGGCUAAAUACGUGCCAGCAGCCGCGGUAAUACGUAUGGUGCAAGCGUUAUCCGGAUUUACUGGGUGUAAAGGGAGCGUAGACGGAGUGGCAAGUCUGAUGUGAAAACCCGGGGCUCAACCCCGAGACUGCAUUGGAAACUGUCAAUCUAGAGUACCGGAGAGGUAAGCGGAAUUCCUAGUGUAGCGGUGAAAUGCGUAGAUAUUAGGAGGAACACCAGUGGCGAAGGCGGCUUACUGGACGGUAACUGACGUUGAGGCUCGAAAGCGUGGGGAGCAAACAGGAAUAGAUACCCUGGUAGUCCACGCCGUAAACGAUGA